Molecule: ribosomal RNA, 235 nt
Filed under: uncultured bacterium
Lineage: Bacteria
Description: partial 16S ribosomal RNA
Rfam family: Bacterial small subunit ribosomal RNA
Source: RNAcentral
UCUCACCUACGGGGGGCAGCAGUAGGGAAUUUUCGUCAAUGGGCGCAAGCCUGAACGAGCAAUGCCGCGUGAACGAGGAAGGUCUUCGGAUCGUAAAGUUCUGUUGAAGGGGAAAAAGAGCGGAGAGAGGAAAUGAACUCCGAUUGAUAUUACCCUUCGAGGAAGUCACGGCUAACUACGUGCCAGCAGCCGCGGAAAUAGGAAGGUGGCGAGAGUUAUCCGGAAUGAUUGGGCG